RNAcentral lists this long non-coding RNA (2384 nucleotides) under Octopus sinensis (East Asian common octopus). Its description in RNAcentral is "uncharacterized LOC115220386". Lineage: Eukaryota; Metazoa; Mollusca; Cephalopoda; Octopoda; Octopodidae. The record is from RNAcentral.
UUAUCGUUCUUGAUAUUUUUUCUUUUCUGCUUCAUAAUUUAUUUAUUUUUUUACAUCACGUUUCUUGUUAUUCUUCGAUGUCUUCCAAGAAAGUCGUCUCGUGUGUAACAUCUUGUCGUUCGGAAAGCUUUAUACGUCUUCCUCUUAACGGAUCCUGUUGACACACAACACAGUAACAGCUCCUAUUUUGAUACACUUUCAAAACAAAGGAAAAUUCUGUUCAGAAAAUCUGGAAGAAAAGUUUAUUUGGAUUGACUUCUGAACUAAUAUUGUAUAAGAAAUACAUAUAUAUAGUUAUAUAUAUAUAUAUAUGUCUGGAGAAAAUUGCUACGUGUGUUCUUCCCAAAUGGCUAAUCCUGCUGAUCUGAAUAUGGCUGUUGACCCAGAUAAUUCUGGAAGUAGUUCAGAAUCUAGUCCAGAUGUCAACAUAUAUGACCACUGUGGACAGAUUCUCCGGCUCCUGGGCGACAGUUUUUAUUGGAUGACAUGUGGUAGAAAACUUCAGUUGAUUGCCGACAAAUUUUAUUGUGUACAGAUAUUACUUCGCCUAACAUUGCAAGAUGCCAUGCCCUAUUCACCCAUUUAACCAUGGCUGUGAAAUUUUUUUUAAAAGUUGACUGUUAGGGCACUUACGGUUUUUUGUUUUUUUGGGGGGAUGUGGGGGGUUUUCAAUUUUUAAAAACAAAUUUCUUUUUAAUAUUUUAUCAUUUCAGUGUGAGAGUAUCUUUCUCUGAGAUGUUCUUCUGUUUUUAAUACAUAAGUAUUUAUGUUCACUUAAAAUUGAUUUAAGAAAAAAUUUCUGAUACCCUUUCAUUGGGGAUUUGUGCUUUUUUUUUCCUUUUUUUUUCUUUUUUGUUUUUUAAUGAAAAUAUUCUUAAUAGUGAUAUUCACUAUUUAAAGUAUGUAAAUGUGUAGCUCAUCACCUAUUUAAUCUCACUUUAAUAUUUUUGCCUCUAUCAAGGUGGCAAGCUGGUAGAAUCACACACCAGGCAGAAUGCUUAACAGCAUUUUGUCCAGCUUUACAUUCGGAAUCCAAAUUUCACCAGGGUCAACUUUGCCUUUCAUCCUUUCGGGGUCGAUAAAAUAAGUACCAGUUGAGUAUUGGGAGUCGAUGUAAUCGACUUAGCCCCUCCUCCAAAAUUGCUGGCCUUGUGCCAAAAUUUUAAACCAAUAUUGUUACCUCUUUCUACUACCCUGCUUGCUGGUAGAUUAUUAUUAUUUUAAUUGAAACAACUAUAUUUUGAGUGUAGACUCAAUAAAAUUCCAUAUAUGGUAAAGAAAUUACAAAAAUGUAUGAAAGAUAUGUAAACUAAGGUCAUUUAAUAUUAUCAUUCAUAAAUUUACAUGUAACAUCUUUUCUGUGUGAAGGCUUCUGCCUCUAAUUGUUAUGCACAAUGGCUCUGCCACUAAAAUUGUUACUAAUGAGAUUGUUGGUUAAAUUAGUUUAAGAUGCUUCUACACAAUAGCUGAAAAGCAUUGCCUUGUCAAAUUGUUUUUAAGGGCAAUUUUGUUGAUGAAAUAUUGUAUCCUGUGAAUAUUUGAUUAACAGGAGAAAUCAUACGCAAUGCUAAUUUAUUAAACCUUUUCUAUUUUACUGUCCUGUGAUAUCUCUAAUUUAUUAUAUGUAUUUAUUUUUAGUAAUGCUUUUUUUCAAUUUUUUUUUUUUAAGUAUUUCAAUUCUGAGCUGCUGCUAACCUUCACAUAAAAUGAUUUUAUCUUGCACCAGUAGACUGUUUACAUUUUUGCAGCAGUUCAAGGUUCGCCACCCCUUCCCCCAAAGAAUACCAUAUACUUGGUAUGAAAGCUUUCAGUAAUAAGUUAUAGUGUCCCUUCCCGAAACACUUCUAGCAAAACUAAAAUAGUCCCUGCUGCCUCUGAACAGAAUAUUCCCCAUCCACCCCACUGACCUUAACUGCUUUUCUCUCCCCCCCCCCCCACCCACUCUGUCUCUUUAAAGCUCUUACUAAAUCAUAUUAGUCAGUCUUCCUUUUCCGUAACUAAUUUUUUUUUUUUAUCUUUAAAAUAUUUAUUAAAACCGCUUCUAUUGGUCAUUUUAUCAUUUUAAAAUAUAUGAGAUGUACUUGUUUAUUACCUUGACAGUGUUUACCGUUUUAAAAAAUUAAAUUAGAAAAUUGGACAAAACAGAGAACAGAAUUGAAAAAUUAAAAAGAAAGAGAAAAAAGAGAAACCCAAACAAUUCACUGCUUUGGGUUGAAAAGUUGGGCAUGCUGGGAAACCUCUCUAAUGGCUAUUGAGGCCAGCAUGUUUGUAGCGUUGCCACGGGUGAUGGCGAGGCUGAUGCACUGGAACAUAUUUUCCCAUGUGUUUUUUACAAACACUGAUCUCACCAACUUCACUGUCAUUGUUGUUCUUCUAACUAGGAA